RNAcentral lists this transfer RNA (67 nucleotides) under Marmota monax (woodchuck). RNAcentral's name for it is "tRNA.Val". Lineage: Eukaryota; Metazoa; Chordata; Mammalia; Rodentia; Sciuridae. The record is from RNAcentral.
GGUUAUAGCUAAGUGGUUGAGCGCUUGCCUCACACGUGUGAGGCUCUGGGUUCAAUCCUCAGCACCA